UACGUAGGUGGCAAGCGUUGUCCGGAAUUACUGGGUGUAAAGCGCGUGUAGGCGGGAGGCCAAGUCUGCUGUGAAAUCGCCCGGCUCAACUGGGCGGGGUCGGUGGAAACUGGUCACCUGGAGGACGGUAGAGGCGAGUGGAAUUCCAGGUGUAGCGGUGAAAUGCGUAGAUAUCUGGAGGAACACCGGUGGCGAAGGCGGCAUCCUGGACCGAGAUUGACGCUGAGGCGCGAAAGCUAGGGGAGCAAACGGG
Molecule: ribosomal RNA, 253 nt
Filed under: uncultured bacterium
Lineage: Bacteria
Description: partial 16S ribosomal RNA
Rfam family: Bacterial small subunit ribosomal RNA
Source: RNAcentral